Molecule: ribosomal RNA, 253 nt
Filed under: uncultured bacterium
Lineage: Bacteria
Description: partial 16S ribosomal RNA
Rfam family: Bacterial small subunit ribosomal RNA
Source: RNAcentral
UACAGAGGUCUCAAGCGUUGUUCGGAUUCAUUGGGCGUAAAGGGUGCGUAGGCGGCGCGGUAAGUCGGGUGUGAAAUCUUGGAGCUUAACUCCGAAACUGCACUGGAUACUGCUCUGCUAGAGGACUGGAGAGGAGACUGGAAUUCACGGUGUAGCAGUGAAAUGCGUAGAUAUCGUGAGGAAGACCAGUGGCGAAGGCGGGUCUCUGGACAGUUCCUGACGCUGAGGCGCGAAGGCCAGGGGAGCAAACAGG